UACGGAGGGUGCAAGCGUUAAUCGGAAUUACUGGCGUAAAGCGCACGCAGGUGGCUGAGAAAGUCGAUUGUGAAAGCCCUGGGCUUAACCUGGGAAUUGCAGUCGAAACUACUCGGCUAGAGUAUGGGAGAGGACAGUGGAAUUCCCGGUGUAGCGGUGAAAUGCGUAGAUACCGGGAGGAACACCCGCGGCGAAGGCGGCCCGCUGGGCCAUCCCUGACGCUGAGGCGCGAAGGCCAGGGGAGCGAACGGG
This 252-nucleotide ribosomal RNA is filed under the name uncultured bacterium. RNAcentral describes it as "partial 16S ribosomal RNA". It matches the Rfam family "Bacterial small subunit ribosomal RNA", at positions 524 to 776 of the family's 1533-position model. The record is from RNAcentral.